CGUAGGGGCCAAGCGUUGUCCGGAUUUAUUGGGCGUAAAGAGCUCGUAGGCGGUUCGGUAAGUCGGCGGUGAAAUCUCCACGCUCAACGUGGAGGGGUCCGUCGAUACUGCUGUGACUCGCGUCCGGUAGGGGAGAGUGGAAUUCCCGGUGUAGCGGUGAAAUGCGCAGAGAUCGGGAGGAACACCCGUAGCGAAGGCGGCUCUCUGGGCCCGUGACUGACGCUGAGGAGCGAAAGCGUGGGGAGCAAACAGGAUUAGAUACCCUGGUAGUCCACGCCGUAAACGUUGGGCACUAGGUGUGGGGUUCUAUCGACGGACUCCGUGCCGUAGCUAACGCAUUAAGUGCCCCGCCUGGGGAGUACGGCCGCAAGGCUA
Molecule: ribosomal RNA, 375 nt
Filed under: uncultured organism
Description: bacterial SSU rRNA
Rfam family: Bacterial small subunit ribosomal RNA
Source: RNAcentral